This 535-nucleotide ribosomal RNA is filed under the name uncultured bacterium. RNAcentral's name for it is "bacterial SSU rRNA". It matches the Rfam family "Bacterial small subunit ribosomal RNA", at positions 974 to 1509 of the family's 1533-position model. The record is from RNAcentral.
CCUGGCCUUGACAUACUAAGAACUUUCCAGAGAUGGAUUGGUGCCUUCGGGAACUUAGAUACAGGUGCUGCAUGGCUGUCGUCAGCUCGUGUCGUGAGAUGUUGGGUUAAGUCCGCAACGAGCGCAACCCUUUUCCUUAUUUGCCAGCGGGUAAUGCCGGGAACUUUAAGGAUACUGCCAGUGACAAACUUGAGGAAGGCGGGGACGACGUCAAGUCAUCAUGGCCCUUACGGCCAGGGCUACACACGUGCUACAAUGGUCGGUACAAAGGGUUGCUACCUCGCGAGAGGAUGCUAAUCUCAAAAAGCCGAUCGUAGUCCGGAUCGCAGUCUGCAACUCGACUGCGUGAAGUCGGAAUCGCUAGUAAUCGCGGAUCAGAAUGCCGCGGUGAAUACGUUCCCGGGCCUUGUACACACCGCCCGUCACACCAUGGGAGUUUGUUGCACCAGAAGUAGGUAGUCUAACCGCAAGGAGGACGCUUACCACGGUGUGGCCGAUGACUGGGGUGAAGUCGUAACAAGGUAGGCGUAGAUGA